UAGAUCGGAGUCGGCGACCCGAUGGGUAUGCCGAUUUCCCAUAUAAUGGCUUCAGGUAUGACUGGAAUUAGAGCUGCAGGUGACCUUGUUGCAAGAAUGG
Methanosarcina barkeri str. Fusaro is the source of this 100-nucleotide non-coding RNA. The record is from Rfam. Lineage: Archaea; Methanobacteriati; Methanobacteriota; Methanomicrobia; Methanosarcinales; Methanosarcinaceae.